UACUCCUAUACCUAAGUACACCCCUCUAUUUCUCUUUCUAAAUUUAUCACAAAAUCUAAACCUCACUACAUUCUUACGUCCCUCCUCCGUCCAAGAAGGUUACAACUCUUGUUAAACCUGUGUUUUCAAACAGAAAAUUAAGUUAAAAAAAUAAGAAUAAAAACCAAAAUAUACAGAUAAAUAGUACCUCAUGAUCGUAAAGAUUUCUAAAUUGAGCGAGCCUGCUAAGAAUCAAUCAAUACAACCUGCAAAAUAUUUUUAAAAUCUUGUUCAAACUUAAAUCGCAUUAGUACAAUAUCAUUCAAACAUAGCAAACAACAAUUUCUAAUUUUAAUAAUACAUUUGCUACAGAAAUUUUUUCAUGUUUGCAAAUACCAAUAUUAAUCUAAUUUCAAAAGGCUGAAU
RNAcentral lists this long non-coding RNA (405 nucleotides) under Panax ginseng (ginseng). Its description in RNAcentral is "long non-coding RNA (PGIN_LNC010192)". The record is from RNAcentral. Lineage: Eukaryota; Viridiplantae; Streptophyta; Magnoliopsida; Apiales; Araliaceae.